GAUGAAGAACGCAGCGAAAUGCGAUAAGUAAUGCGAAUUGCAGAAUUCCAGUGAGUCAUCGAAUCUUUGAACGCACAUUGCGCCCUUUGGUAUUCCGAAGGGCAUGCCUGUUCGAGCGUCAUUAUCACCCCUCAAGCCCUCGGCUUGGUGUUGGAAGGUUUGGUGGAGGCCCCCUCGGGGGCUCCUGCCCCUCCCAAAGACAAUGACGGCGGCCUCGUUGGACCCCCGGUACACUGAGUUCUUCACGGGACACGUAUCGGACACAUGGGUUUACGGGACACGGUCUGCCUCCCCUCAGGGAGAAUCUUUCUAAGGUUGACCUCGGAUCAGGUAGGGAUACCCGCUGAGCUUAAGCAUAUCAAUAAGCGGAGGA
This 373-nucleotide unclassified non-coding RNA is filed under the name soil metagenome. RNAcentral describes it as "partial contains 5.8S ribosomal RNA, internal transcribed spacer 2, and large subunit ribosomal RNA". The stretch from base 1 to 121 matches the Rfam family "5.8S ribosomal RNA", at positions 35 to 154 of the family's 154-position model. The record is from RNAcentral.